CUGAGAACGGGAGAGGCUGGAAAAAAUCGAGAAUGGAAAGGAAGAAAAAGAAGAAAAGAAAGGAAAGGAAGAAGUUGAUGACUUUUGCAAGUUUGGGUUCUUCAUUUCUUCAAUUUAUGCUUCUUUUAAAGAGGUAUGUUAAUUAAAUUUCUAGGGUUUAUGAACAAUUCAUUUAUAUUCGAAGUCUAGCAAGAAUUAGAGAUUAUUAAUAUGCAUUUGAGGUAUUAAACAAGAGUAUAUCAAGGAAAUUUAUAAAGAAAGAUUGAUGUUGUAGAAAGUGAAAUUUUGAAAAUGGAAAUGGAUACCUAUUCUUUGUUUUUUUGUGAUUAUAUGGUGUCAACCACUUAAUUUAAGGACAUGAGGUUUGAUUUCUCCAUUUUAAGCAAUUUUAAGCUAUUUUGUGCAAUUUUAAUACACAGGUGCUGAUUUGUAAUUUUGCCCAGAAAAGUGCCGUUUCUGUCAAAUGUUUUGGUGAUAAUUUUUAGUGUACAAAAACUGGUUUUACAGUUCCAUAUUCUGGAAUUUUAGUUUUAUUUUUGUCUAACCUUUGAUUGUUUUGAAAUUAUUAGAAAAUAAUUGGUGUAAUUACCUUACUCUAGUGCACUAAGGGGCUAGGUCGUGUACUAGAGUCAUGUAUUUAACUCUUAUAAACUGAGGGGCUACAGCUGCGUAUAAAGAUGAUUAUGUUAUUUUCAUCUUGUACACGGAGGGGCUACGGUCGUGUACUAGUGUCACGUAUUUAACUCCUAUACACUGAGGGGCUACAGCCGUGUAUAAGGAUGAUUAUGUUAUUUCUAUCUUAUACACUGAGGGGCUACGACCGUGUACUAGAGUCAUGAAUUUAGCUCCUAUACACUGAGGGGGCUAUGGCCGUGUACUAGAGUCAUGUAUUUAACUCUUAUACACUGAGGGGCUACAAUCGUGUAUAAGGAUAAUUAUGUUAUUUCCAUCUUGUACACUGAGGGGCUACGACCGUGUACUAGAGUCGUGUAUUUAACUCCUAUACAUUGAGGGGUUACAGUCGUGUAUAAGGAUGAUUAUGUUGUUUCCAUUUUGUGCACUGAGGGGAUACGGCCGUGUACAAAGUAUUGAUCAGACGGUUUAUGUGCAUAUGAUUUUAUAGCUUUCAGACCAUUAGUAGAUGUUUACAUGGAGUAUAUUUUGAUGUGAAUUUUAAGUAUAUAGUGGAUUAUUAGACUUCAGUUUACAUUUCCGCAUUGACAAUUCAGCUUACGAAUUUCAGAAUUUCUACAAGUUUUCGUAGUGCAAGAAUUUUCAGAAUAUAUGCAUAAAAGAAAAAGUAUACUUAUUUGCAGAUUAUUCACUUACUGAGCUAUAAGCUCAUAUUUCUUUUCACAUUUUUCUUUAGCAGAUAGCAGCCGAGUUGAGCAGUAUUAGAACCUGUCGAUCCAUUGAAUUAGGCCACACGUCAUUAGUUGUAUGGCCUACUUUAUCAGAUUAGGUAGUAACAGUUUCUUGGGUUACAUGUAGCUUAUGUUAGAAAAUAUUGUCAUGAGAUCACUACAAGGUAUAUUUAGGCUUUGUUUUAGACACAUUAUUUGAAAAAAAAUGUAUUCUUCAGCAGUGAUUUGACAUCAUUUCAACCACAAAUUCAAUAAAAUAAUAUUAUACACAAAUUCAAAAAUUUUCGUUAUUUUUUAACCACACAUUUCCUAUCAAUACACUAUUCAAAAAUGUAUUUUUAUUCCAAUAAUGUUGCUCAAACAAGGGCUUAGUAUAUUUGAGGAUUGUUGAUAGUAAAGCAAGUAAAUAUUGAAUUGCCAGCAAAUUAUUUGAAUACUUUAGAUUUUGAGGGACUGGUGUACCUUAUUUUACAUUAUAUGUAUUGAUUUGAAGAAAUCGAUUAUGGAUCAGAUGGAUUUAGUCCAUAUUUUAUAGGAGGCUUUGUCAUAAUUUUGUUAAAAAUAUUUUUCAGUCAGGCAAGUCAAAGUUGCCUUAGUGGUGGGUUCGACGUUUAGUUAGUGUCUAUCAUCGGUGCAAGACACGUGUCGAGUCCAUUGAGGUGAUUCGGGACAGGUCGUGUCACUAUCCCCCUACUUCAACUUGGUAUAUAUACAAGAAUUCUUUUCGACUUUUCCAUUUAAAUGACAAAUGUAGUGUACAGAGCAAAUAAGCAUUUAUUUGGACACUAGCCUGCCUCCAAGCUAUUACUUGAGCGUCCAAAACAGUGAGCUCAUUGCUAGCCUGUCACCUGCCCCUUGCUGUCACUCGAUCGAGCAACAGUGCAUCCCGAGAAAUCCUAUUUCACAUUUUUUAAGGCUUUUAACUUGCCUAUACUAUCCAAAACCUCCAAACUAGAAAAUUGUUGGUUGAACAUUGAGAUAAACUUGAAUUCACUUUAUAUACUUCAUAUAACUUGUUCGAUCCUCUCUUGCUUGAGCCAUAUUAUUCAAAACCAUCAAACCCACAUAAACUAAAUACCAGAACACUUAUUUCCAUAAAAUCUAUCAGAGUUUUGAAUAUCAAGGAAGGUUACCUGAGUUCCGAUUGUUAGAGAACGAGGAGUUCUUGAAGAUCCAAAGGAGAUAGAUGAGUUAAGAAGGUCAAGAGUUGGUGCAGGAGCACGCAAUCAAGGAGGUUUUCUUUUUUCCCUUUUUAGAAUAAAGGAGGAAAGAGAACGAAUAAAGUAGAUCCAAAAUCUGCGAGACUCAAGUUCAAGUUCGAAUUAAAUGAAUAAUGAAUAUUAAUAAUAGAGGAAUGGGGGUAGAGUAGAAAAUACAGAUCUAGAGCAAGAAUACAAGACCUUGGUGAUUACAGUUAAGAGGUCAGAAAGCACUAGAGUCGAGUCUGGCAAUACUGUAAGUUGAUUCAUUUAUAUUGGAUUCAUACUGGCUUGAGCUCGGAGAUUUCAAUCCUGCGAGGGGUUUUCUCCAUUAACAAUUUUCCUGUGUCAUUUACUUUUAUGCAAUUUAUUAAAUUGCAAUAAUUCAACAUAGGAUAGUGUGCAUGUGAAUUCAUAUGAAUUAAUUAAUAACUGUGACAUGUUGCAUUUAUUAAUUGAUAAAUUUAAAUUUCGCACAAACAUCUAUUCAUCCCCUCUAGGUGUUAGUUUGGUCGAACUUCAUUAUUUUAGUUUUCCUUUGUUUCUAAGGGCUUAUUGCUUCUGCCACAUUAAAAAAAAUAAAAUAAAUAAAAAUAAAAAUAAAAAUCUUAUCUAUCAUGAUGUUAUUUUUUGUUAUUGUACAUCAUUUUUAAUUACUGCAUAUCAAUUAUGCCCUAAAUGUAUUUACAAUGAAACUUUGGCUACUAAGCAUGAUAGUGGCUGUAAGUUUAUCAGGCUUUAAUUCCUACAUGAGACUCUGCAACGCACUUGCCAAACAUAGUUUUUCAAGUUACCUAGAAAAGUAGCCACUUUGUCCUUUAUAGUCUUAUCUAAAUCUUCUUUUUUCUAUCGGUCAAGUAUCUUUUAAAAAUUAGCAUGCAUAAUUGUUGAGUCGUAAAUUCGGCAUACUGGGGAUUGGGGAGCACAAGGAUGAACAAAUUUUUGAAGUCAAUUGUCUUGGAGAUGUUGUGUAGACAUUUGAAGGGAACUUUUCGGUUGUCAAAAAAACGUCAUUUCUAAAAGUUUAAAAUGAUGAAUUUAAUUUUUUUACCAAAGGUCCGACAUGUUCUCAAUUUUCAUAAAGAGAUAACGGCCUUGAAUACAAGACCUACUCUUGCUCUGUUAUUAGGUUGUACUAUCUUGUAGCUAAAGCUAAUGAAGAAGGGAUUUAUUUAUUUAUUUAGUUUAUUGUUCAACAGUUUCUUAUUAUAUAAUUAAUUUGAUCUUUUUGUUGCACACUUCAAUUAUUCUAGAAUCAAGAAUUUGUGAAACACAGUGCCAAUCCUCAAGGGCAAUCCCAAUGAAGGCCCAAUCCACCCCCAAUUAAAAAUAUGUCAGCAGUAGCCCAGGCCCAAGUUAAAAGAAAUUUUUUUUUUUUUUAAAUUGGCCAAAAAAUUGGCCCAAUUUUAUUAACCCAUAUAAUUUAAAGGUUGAGGCUUGACCUUGAAUUGUAGAAUAUCCGUCCCUGCUGCUUGCUUCGACUUCCACCUGAGGACAGAGGACCUCGGUUUCCGCCUUCCAAUUCACGUAUGACUGUCUCUCUCUCUCUCUCUGUGUGCUGACUGCCAUGCUAUAUAUUAUAUACACACUUCAUGCCUCAAAAGUCAAAGUUAAUUUUAUCUCUUUCUAGCAUCAAUCUAUGAAAUGUGGUAUGGAAUUUGAGUUACAAAACUUAUUUAGUUAUUCUCCAAUUCAUUUUAUGUAGCAAUUAGAAAUGCAAUUUGUUUUGUUUUCUUCUAUUUUACAAAUUCUCCAAUUCAUUAUAUGUAUUACUUAAUUUCCUGCUAAAUUUUGAAAUUUGAUUUUAGGGCCUAAACUAAAAUUUACGGCUUUUCGGUUUUUUAUCCAAAGUUUGAUUCUUUAUGUUAGUUAACUUUUCGAUCUUAUGUUUUCAUACUAUCAUUCUAUUUUCUUUUUCUUAUCAACACAUUGUAAUGCUAUACUCUAAUUGAUGGUGACUUCAUACGGGGCCCUCCCUAUGGCCUAGUAAUCUUUCUCAACUCAAGUCUUAAGUUCGGUGUCUUUCAUCAUUGAUUGAACAUCUGCGCUAAUAUGUUAAAAAAGAAAAAGAAAUAGGGAGCUAAUGGCUUGAAUGGAACAAUAACAAUGGAUUAGUAAGCCUACAGAGCGGACAAAGAUCAGAGCAUGUUCCAAUAUAAAGAUUCGUGCUGUCAAGUUUGUAGUUUUUCUUGCAUCUCUUUGAACAUGAGGAUUCCCGCCAUCAAGUUUGUAAAUUUCUUACCUUCCUCCAAGGCUCAAUCAUAAUAGAUGUAUUCCUAACACCCUCACUCCCUCAAUCCAACCCAACCCAAUCCAAUCCACCCACAUUGGGUCUAGAUCUAGGUCAAGGUUCUAAAUUUUAAUGGUGUUUUAAUUAAAUGAAAGAAUGAUACCAACAUUUACCUUGAAUUUGAUUGUGCUUUUAAGAGUUUCUCUUCUUUGUCAUAGUUAUUUUUCUCAACGUAAAAUUGAAAUUUCAAAUUCUAAUGGUUUAACUCGUGAACUAAAAUACUGAGAUAAAAUCUCAAAUCAUCUAUUUUCACAAAAUCCAUCUUAUUUUCAUUCAAUUGGUCCAAGUCAACAAUUUCAUAAGCCUAUUAUGCUUUUCCACAAACAUACGUUCUACUUCAUUUUAGUCUGCACAAAAAUUACCAUUAGGAGUUCAAAAUAAGGCCGGCCCUUAGAAUUUUAAGGCUCAAGGCUACAAAAUAUGAUGAGGCUCCUAAAUAUAAUUUGUUUUUACAAAUGUAGCAAUCUUUUUAACAUCAAUCAUGUUGAAUCAACAAACUGUUCUCAUGAUGAGGAACAUUAUACUAUGACAUUCAAAUACUGUUCGAUUCGUCUGAGAAUCAAUUUUUGUAUUCAAGAAAUAUAACUAAAUCCUUUUUAAAUCCAAUGAGGUAAGUGGUAACUACCAUUUAUUGCUUAAAAUUUUCUAUACUUAAAAAUAAUAAUAAAAUCAAAUCAAAGGCAGCAAUGAAAUCUAUAGAACAAAAUUUAAUGUUGAAUAAUUAAAAAUACAAUCAUAAUUGGGUAUUGGGACAACCUUCUGCUUCAUUUGCAAUACUACAUCUUCAAAAAAGUAUUUAAUGCAAGAAAAUUCUAUAAAUUUUCUGUACAUAAACAGUCAUUUUGACUUUUUUUUUUCCUUAAUUGAUUAGGGAAAAUUGUAGCAAAGGUACCAAACCUUUCAUUUAUUAGCAAACUUAACUCAAACCUUUCGUUUAUACCACCGGAGGUUUCAAACCUUUAAAAUAUUCACAGAUCCAAUCCAAAAUGAUGGUUUCCAUCUAUUUGACCAUCAAAACCAUUAGUUCACCCCAAUAAUGAAAAAAAAAAAAAUUUCCUCCAAAUAAGGAUAAUUUUGACAUUUAACCCUAUUUGAAGGACAUUUUUAGCUCCUAAAAAUGAAAAAAUGGAUCGUUAGAAGCACUUUUCAGCCACCAUUUUUGACUGAGUGUAGAUGUGGGGCCUAAAUUUGAAAAAACGGUCCAAAAAUUUCUACUCUCGCCCCUAAAAAUAUGGCUCAAGCAGUUAAUAAGUCCUUGUCCAUCUUCUUCAACAAACCCUCAACCCCCAACCCCCCAAAUCAUAUCAGAAGAUUCAUCCCUACCCCUAACCUCACAAAAUCAUAGGGAUGGAUCCAGGAUUGGAUCCAAGACCGGGCUACAAAAUUUCAAACGGGGCUACUAUGCGUAAAAAAAAAAAUUACACAUAAAAAACUGAUUUUUUAACAAAAAAUAAAAAAUACCUUAAAAAAAAGUUCUUGGGCCUGAGGGAGGGGGGGCUACAGCCUAGCCCAGCCCAGCCCCCCCCCCUCCUCAAUCUGUCUCUGUCAGAUCAGAAGAUUCACCGUCAACUACCAUUGACCACGAUACAAUUCCUCCGACGGUGGUUGUUGUAUAUGUGUGUGUGUGUGUGUAAAGGUGCAAUUCCUCCCGCAUGCAAUUUCUUAGUUUCCUCAUUUUUCACCUUUUCUACAAAAAUCACAUCUUCAUAGUUCUCGAUGGUUAGUAAUUCCUUAAAAAUGAAAGAUGUGUUGCGAGGGUUUCACUUGGAGCAUAUUGUAAAAGGAUAUUAAUGUGUCAUUGGAAUUAAUUUGUCAGGAUAAUUUACCAUUUGUGUUUGAAUUUUUGAAGAGGGUUGGGGUUCAAAUUAAGUUGGGUGUUUGGAUUUUAUUGGGUGUAUACAUAUCAAUGAAAUCUUACCUCUCUGAGAAGCUCUUGAAUCCAUUUCUAAUGUAUUUUGUGGUGGUCGGCGAUGAUUUUAGUGGGCAUAUAAGUAUAUUGUGGGUUGGAGAGGGUUGUUAUUCCCUAUUUCUUUAACUUGAUUUAAUUUACAGAUUAUCAAUCUUCCUUUGCGGUUGUACCGGUGGCCUUGCCGGUGUUGGAUAGCAGUGGUGGUUGUUAGAUUUUGGCGGGUGGGAAACGAUGUGGUGUGGGGGUGAAGAUGACAACCUUUUUUCCCCUUUUCUAUUUCAUUUUUUUAUUAUUUUAGGUUUUAGAAUUGUAUAGUUACUAUUUUGCCCUUAUUAUAUUUGAUUAAAUUCUACUAGUUUGGUCAACUAACUGUCAAAUUAAUGGUUUUCAUCCAUUUGGACUGGAUCUGCAAAUAUUUUAAUGGUUUGGUACCUCUGCUGACACAACUGAAAGGUUUGGGUCAAGUCUGCUAACAAAU
RNAcentral lists this long non-coding RNA (7240 nucleotides) under Olea europaea subsp. europaea. The record is from RNAcentral. Lineage: Eukaryota; Viridiplantae; Streptophyta; Magnoliopsida; Lamiales; Oleaceae.